GCUGAGUCAUGUCUAAAAAAAUGUCAAGUUAUGGAGACUUCAUAGAGAAGGGAGGGGGUUUCAAGUUCCACAGCACUCUAUGGCUGGAGAGCAAUUGUAGGGGCAUUUGAAGAGGUCCUGCAGGCUGUGAAAGGGUUGGCCAAGGGGAAGGAUUGGAGAGAAGCUGUCUAUGACACAACAUCUAGGCAGUAGGUCGCCUUAUGUGAAAGUUAUGUGAGGCUGCCUGUCAUUUCUUAAAUAUUUCAAAGCACAAUAGACUCUAGGCAAAAAAGAAAACGUGCAAUGCAGGCCCACACACUCAUUCAUUCAUUCAGCAAAUCAUCAUUGAAUCCUAUGCGCAUGCCUGGCAAUGUUCUGGGUGCUGGAUCACAGUGAGUGACACCGGCAUCACUCUCCGCCCUCUAGAUACUCACAGUGCAGGGUGGUGUCAUCCAGGAAGCAGGCGACAGAGCUGUGUGGCCGGCUCCACAGAGGACAAGGAUGAGAAAUUGAAUAACUUCAAUCCAGCACUGGGGUCAUAUUCCCCAUAAGUAAAAACUAAAAGUACUCUCUGCCAUCAGCAUGCGCCGCAGGACUUUGGGCCGUCUCAACCUAAGGGACACGUGUGGAUCUCAGGAGCGGGAAGAGCAUGCUGUUUUCAAGCCUAAACCCACCCUUACACUCAAAUGUAAAAGUUAAAAAAAAAAUUCCUAUUAAUCUGCUGCCUCAUGGGAACAGAACAACCCUCCUUUGUAGAAAACAGAAGACCGAAUGCUCAGUACACAAAGUAUGUGAGCAGCAGCGAAUCUGUACAGGGCUGCAGUCUCCAUUCUCACCUCAAAGGAAAGAAUUCGUCCGAGGGGAAUAAGGCAGAGUGAGAGACUGAGGCAAGUUUAGGGCAGGAGUGACUAACUUAGCACCUCUUGGUGCCGUUGAGUCAUAGACAAUGUGUCUGCAAUCCUAAAAGAAUAAAUUAAACAUAAUUUGGC
RNAcentral lists this long non-coding RNA (968 nucleotides) under Homo sapiens (human). RNAcentral's name for it is "HSALNT0170239". Lineage: Eukaryota; Metazoa; Chordata; Mammalia; Primates; Hominidae. The record is from RNAcentral.